UAAGGAAUAUUGGGCAAUGGACGCAAGUCUGACCCAGCCAUACCGCGUGAAGGAUGACGGCCCUACGGGUUGUAACCUUCUUUUGUACGGUAAAAAACCUUCGAUCGUGUAUCGGAGCUGAUGGUACCGUAAGAAUAAGCAUCGGCUAACUCCGUGCCAGCAGCCGCGGUAAUACGGAGGAUGCAAGCGUUAUCCGGAUUCAUUGGGUUUAAAGGGUGCGUAGGCGGGUUGAUAAGUCAGUGGUGAAAUCCUACAGCUUAACUGUAGAACUGCCAUUGAUACUGUCAGCCUUGAGUACAUUUGAAGUGGGCGGAAUGUGUCAUGUAGCGGUGAAAUGCUUAGAUAUGACACAGAACACCGAUAGCGAAGGCAGCUCACUAAACUGUAACUGACGCUGAGGCACGAAAGCGUGGGGAUCAAACAGG
Molecule: ribosomal RNA, 425 nt
Filed under: uncultured bacterium
Lineage: Bacteria
Description: bacterial SSU rRNA
Rfam family: Bacterial small subunit ribosomal RNA
Source: RNAcentral